RNAcentral lists this ribosomal RNA (471 nucleotides) under uncultured Streptococcus sp. RNAcentral describes it as "bacterial SSU rRNA". It matches the Rfam family "Bacterial small subunit ribosomal RNA", at positions 907 to 1382 of the family's 1533-position model. The record is from RNAcentral. Lineage: Bacteria; Bacillati; Bacillota; Bacilli; Lactobacillales; Streptococcaceae.
GAAUUGACGGGGCCGCACAAGCGGUGGAGCAUGUUGGUUAAUUCGAAGCAACGCGAAGAACCUUACCAGGUCUUGACAUCCGAUGCUAUUUCUAGAGAUAGAAAGUUACUUCGGUACAUCGGUGACAGGUGGUGCAUGGUUGUCGUCAGCUCGUGUCGUGAGAUGUUGGGUUAAGUCCCGCAACGAGCGCAACCCCUAUUGUUAGUUGCCAUCAUUCAGUUGGGCACUCUAGCGAGACUGCCGGUAAUAAACCGGAGGAAGGUGGGGAUGACGUCAAAUCAUCAUGCCCCUUAUGACCUGGGCUACACACGUGCUACAAUGGUUGGUACAACGAGUUGCGAGUCGGUGACGGCGAGCUAAUCUCUUAAAGCCAAUCUCAGUUCGGAUUGUAGGCUGCAACUCGCCUACAUGAAGUCGGAAUCGCUAGUAAUCGCGGAUCAGCACGCCGCGGUGAAUACGUUCCCGGGCCUU